Long non-coding RNA from Oncorhynchus tshawytscha (Chinook salmon), 1599 nucleotides. Lineage: Eukaryota; Metazoa; Chordata; Actinopteri; Salmoniformes; Salmonidae. The record is from Ensembl.
CAACAAUAUGGCUAAUUGUUACAAAAGACAUGGAGAGAGAGGGACAGAGACACUUAACAUUGCUACAUUUAGAAACUACAAAUGUAUACUUUGCACACGAACCGUCGCCCGCUUGGCAUAAGAAAUCAUGAAUGCAUUGACCUGAAAUGUCUUGGUUCGCCGCGUAUCUCCCGGAACCGGGCCGCCUUUGAAAGUGGGUUGGGCCUUUUUCGCGGCAUGCUUGUAAAGCUCUGAUGAUCCACAAGGGUUCUAACAAGUCUUCUACUGUUGUUCUCCUCUGAAGUUGUCUGGUACCCGGUGACUUGUAGUGUAGUCCUGAACAGAACUACAGAGUUUAUUCUCCAUCCAUUCACUCCGGACGAUGCUUCUUUGAAGAUGGGCUAGCCAGUCACCAAUGCUCUGGAUAACAUAACAGCCUAACCAGCUCUGCUAGGGGCUUCUUCAAUGUCCUCUACAAAGUUUUUGGUGCCUUGAAGUUAGUAUGAAGGUAACUGAAUCCGGCUGCUAAAGGAGCCCCAAAUAAAGUAAGGUCAUUUUGUUUGUUUAGUUUAUAUUUGUUAGUGGUGUUGAUACUGAUUUAUUGCGUGGGGUCUUUUUAUUUUAGUGGGUUUUUCACAGGUUAGAAAGGAUGCACCUUAAAAGGGCACACAAAUUAAUUUCUCUGAAGUAUCUAUUGUCAGAGUUUUGUGUGCACACAUGUCAAUUCUCUUGAUAAGAAAUGUACUGAAAAACCCAAUGUAAACCUGAUACACAAUAUGUUUGAAAUAUCGUUAAAUAACGUGCGGUACAGGGAAAUAAACACUCAAUGUGGAUGAAUGACCUUUGACAUCUGUUCUGACUUUCUGGUGAGGCCUGAUCACUAUCACUGGAAAGACUAGAGACAUUGGGUGAGAUUUCAUGGGUUAUGUAAACACUUAUAAUUAGGAAGAAGUUUAUCAUUUAUCAUCAACAGUCCUAUGUGUGAUUUGAAACAUGAGAAGGAGAGAGAGAGAGAGCGCUGACCCUGAAUGAGGGACACCUGUCUCGUCUACUCUACCAUUACCUUAUGGGAGAGAGUUAAGUUAAGAUAGAGUCAUCAAGGGUUGCAAUUCGAAUUUGAUUUGUUACUUUAAUUAACAGGCAGUGUUUUUUGGGGGGCGCAUGAAUCACGAUGUGAGUCGUGUCCAAAAGGGGGAAUUACCAAUUCCCUGGAGCUCUUUGCUAAAUAUGCAAAUAGAUUUUCUUCCCAUGCCUCCAUGUAAAAGGAAAAAAGGUAUGUUGUUAAUGAUUGACAGUUACUCCAAAUUGAUUGAAGUUUUCCCCACCUCGAGUGAUAUGAUGAAGUGUAUUGCUGUCAUUUUGUUUUUGUCUUGCUUCAAUACAAAUCUCAUCAGAUUGGGUUUGCUGGAUGGCCGGGAUUUCUCCCUAAGAAUUAGCCCUCCGACUCCCCGACCCUGUAACUCUGUGGUUGAUUUCCCUUACUUUAAUAGGAGAACAGAACCUUUUGAUAGAAGCUAUAAUCUAAUGUUUAAAUGAAAAUGUAAUGAUAAUUAUCACAGCUUGAGUGAUUGAGUGAUAUUUUUUUUUAAAUGUUUGUGCUUUUCUAAUAACCAAUUUCUG